RNAcentral lists this ribosomal RNA (236 nucleotides) under uncultured bacterium. Its description in RNAcentral is "partial 16S ribosomal RNA". It matches the Rfam family "Bacterial small subunit ribosomal RNA", at positions 118 to 351 of the family's 1533-position model. The record is from RNAcentral.
UGAGUAACCUGCCCUUAACCCUGGGAUAAGCCUGGGGAAAACUGGGUCUAAUACCGGAUAUGACUCCUCAUCGCAUGGUGGGGGGUGGAAAGCUUUAUUGUGGUUUUGGAUGGACUCGCGGCCUAUCAGCUUGUUGGUGAGGUAAUGGCUUACCAAGGCGACGACGGGUAGCCGGCCUGAGAGGGUGACCGGCCACACUGGGACUGAGACACGGCCCAGACUCCUACAGGAGGCAG